GUAUUCGCGCCUCGUCCUCAUUGCGUUCGCGCAUUUAUCAUUGGUACGACGAACCAGUCAAUCUCACGAAAGCAGUUAGAAACGAACAGGAACGAUUUGAAGCUCGUGUACGCGCACUACGCGCUCCCUUCGCCAGAUGCGCCUUCAACAGUCGUUCCGCAGUUCCGCAGUUCCGCCAAUUCGCAUCUCAUGUGAGCGCACCCUUAACCUGUACAAUGGCCUGCAAGUAGACGCAAACACAGCUGAUUAAGUAUCGAUUAUGUAUCGAAUAAUGCGAAAUGUACGCGCUAGCCUGACUGGCUCAGCCAUGUGGCAUGCUCGUGUAUUUAAUCGUACGCGCGUGUGUGCGUGUGCGAGCCCGAAUCGUCAGAGAAAAACACGUUGCAAAACUUACGAACGAUCGUCCGUGCGAGUCAGUGACUCUCAGGAGGCUCGAGAGCUCCCGCGCGCACAUUAUACAACGUAUCGAUUAUUGUCGAUCGUCAGUUUUCCUGUGGCGGUAAAAAAUACUUAUGCACAAUGCUGCACAGAAGUCGUCACUUGAUGAGAUAUUUUCGGCCUUUCGUGAGGUUUUAUCACGAGGAAGGGUCCGUCAUCGGCAGCACGCCGGAUACCAGCUCGUCGGUUUAUCAGGAGAAUUACAUGCAAAUGAAAAAUCUUAUUGAUCAACUAAAGAACACUGUGGAGAAGAUAGUCCAGGGCGGUGGACAGAAAGCCAAGGACAGACAUGUAAGCAAAGGGAAGCUGUUACCUCGGGAACGCAUAAACACUCUCUUAGAUAAGAAUUCGCCUUUCUUAGAGUUCUCGCAAUUAGCAGGUUACGAUAUGUAUGGCAAGGAUGAAGUGCCAGCAGGUGGACUUAUUACUGGCAUUGGAAGAAUAGAAGGUACUGAAUGUAUGAUAAUUGUAAACGAUGCUACUGUAAAAGGUGGUACUUAUUACCCAGUCACAGUCAAAAAGCAUUUACGAGCUCAGGAAAUUGCAGAGGAAAAUAGAUUACCUUGCAUAUAUCUAAUUGACAGUGGUGGUGCAUAUUUGCCCAAGCAAGCUGACGUGUUUCCUGACAAAAUGCACUUUGGCAGGAGUUUCUAUAAUCAAGCAAACAUGAGUGCCAAAGGAAUAGCUCAAAUCGCAGUGGUUAUGGGAAGUUGCACAGCAGGUGGUGCAUACAUUCCUGCUAUGGCGGACGAAAAUAUCAUUGUUGCCAAUCAAGGUACAAUUUUUCUGGCUGGUCCACCACUGGUAAAGGCUUCGACCGGUGAAGAGGUUUCAGCGGAGGACUUGGGAGGAGCUGCGCUUCAUUGUCGACAAUCCGGCGUAACCGAUCAUUACGCGAUAGACGACACGCAUGCCUUAUAUCUUGCGCGUCAAGUUGUGAAAGAGUUAAAUCUGCAACCACCUAUGGAUGUAAACAUCAAUAAGAAUAUCGAGCUGCCCGUGCACGCCGUCGAUGACAUCUACGGCAUCGUCGGAACGAAUCUGAAACGUCCGUACGAUGUGAAGGAGGUCAUCGCGAGGAUCGUGGACGGGUCGAAAUUCCAUGAAUUUAAAGCGCAAUAUGGCGAAACCUUGGUCACUGGGUUCGCUAGGAUUUACGGCUAUCCUGUUGGCAUAGUCGCAAACAACGGUGUAUUAUUUUCUGAAAGUGCUCUGAAGGGAGCUCAUUUUGUGCAGCUUUGCGCUCAAAGAAAAAUCCCUCUUGUUUUUCUGCAAAAUAUCACAGGGUUUAUGGUGGGUAGAGAUGCAGAAUCGGGAGGAAUCGCUAAAAAUGGUGCUAAAAUGGUAACAGCGGUAGCAUGCGCGCAGGUGCCAAAGAUUACAGUAAUAAUUGGGGGGUCUUAUGGAGCUGGGAAUUACGGGAUGUGUGGUCGAUCUUAUUCCCCACGUUUUCUCUAUUCAUGGCCAAACGCUAGAAUAUCUGUAAUGGGAGGAGAACAAGCAGCGAGCGUAUUAGUGCAAAUCACAAAGGAUCAACGCGCUAGAGAAGGCAAACAGCCACCGCGCUUUCACCGAAACUAUUUCCCGGCAAGGUAGACAUCCGAUGCCCCGUGAUGCUUAACUGACUGAGAUUGCCAAGGACCUGCAGUGCCUCGCGUGGAAAUUUUUCUAGAUUGCUGUUUAUCACGUAGAGCUCCUGAAGAGUUCGGUUCACGCCGAGGAAGCUGUGCUCUUCGAUCACUCUCAGCGGCGUGUCGACGAACUUGAGCACUCGCACGUCCAACGGAUACAGAGCGGGGCCAUAAAAUCGUACUGUGGAUUUGCAAAAAUCGAAUUGUUCACUUAACCGUUCACUUAUCUCGUCAUCCUCCGCAGAAAUAUAUUAACCAGUUCCUCGAUCGGCAUGCCCUCGUUUCCCAGAUUCGUGAAGGCUAGGCUGAGACUGGCCAGAUUUGUAUUCUCACAGCGUAUGUAUAAUCCUCUGUCACUACCCCGAAGACAAGUGCAGGGGUAAAUGUAAAUCGCGUCUUUCGGGCACCUGAACCUCGGUCCGGGUGGCACGUAGCCACCCAUUAUGGACACGACCGUGCCCAAUAGCAAUAGCGGCGAUAACAUUUUAAUCCCUGCUCGAGAGGCACAAACGAAAAGAAAUCUAUUUAACAUUUUCCUAAUUACACAACAUCUUAUAUACUUCCUGUAACAUCUUAUAACAUCUUGCAAUUACAUAACUAAGUGCGUGUAUGUAACAUUAAAUUUUCCUCAAAGAGGCUUAUAAAAACUA
RNA transcript from Solenopsis invicta (red fire ant), 2719 nucleotides. It is a transcript of the gene named methylcrotonoyl-CoA carboxylase beta chain, mitochondrial, with no coding region annotated. NCBI's taxonomy places the organism in Eukaryota, Metazoa, Arthropoda, Insecta, Hymenoptera, Formicidae. The transcript is spliced from 9 exons. The record is from RefSeq and is a predicted model, not a curated record.